AGUCGAGCGAGGUUACUGUUUUGGAUCCCUUCGGGGUGAAGAAGCUUUAACCUAGCGGCGGACGGGUGAGUAACGCGUGGGUAACCUACCCCAAAGUCCGGGAUAACAGCGGGAAACCGCUGCUAAUACCGGAUGCCUUUACCUUGGGGCAUCUUGAGGUAAAGAAAGGUAACGCUUUGGGAUGGGCCCGCGUCCCAUUAGCUAGUUGGUGAGGUAACGGCUCACCAAGGCGACGAUGGGUAGCCGGCCUGAGAGGGUGGACGGCCACACUGGGACUGAGACACGGCCCAGACUCCUACGGGAGGCAGCAGUAGGGAAUAUUGCGCAAUGGACGGAAGUCUGACGUAGCGACGCCGCGUGAGCGAUGAAGGUCUUCGGAUCGUAAAGCUCUGUCCUUGGGGAAGAAGGUCUUCGGACUUGACGGUACCCAAGAAGAAAGCCCCGGCUAACUACGUGCCAGCAGCCGCGGUAAUACGUAGGGGGCGAGCGUUGUCCGGAAUUACUGGGCGUAAAGGGUGCGUAGGCGGCCCUUUAAGUCGGAUGUGAAAGCCCGCGGCUUAACCGCGGAAUGGCAUUCGAAACUGGAGGGCUUGAGUGUCGGAGAGGGUAGUGGAAUUCCCAGUGUAGCGGUGAAAUGCGUA
Molecule: ribosomal RNA, 641 nt
Filed under: uncultured bacterium
Lineage: Bacteria
Description: bacterial SSU rRNA
Rfam family: Bacterial small subunit ribosomal RNA
Source: RNAcentral